AGGAUUACAGAUUGGCUUAAUCUUUUUACCAUUAUAAAAGGGAAUUGAAAGCACUUACCAUUGUUGCAAAUUGCAGCAUUUGAAAGUUUAUAAUUUACAAUCAUACUGCUGAAAUCUGCUGUAUUUAAGACUUGUGUGGUUUUAUUAAAAUAUUUAGUAUGGAACAAAUCCUUCAUUUAUGCAAUUCAAGUCUGCUCCUAAAUCUAUUAAAGCAAGAGUUUGGAAACUAUAUUCUUUCUGGACGAUUAUUUUAUCAUGGUGAACCAUUUUUUGAGUAAUUACUUCGUCAAGGAGGCUGACGUAAUUACAAUCCUGUGUCACAUUGGAAGAUUCUGGUUCAUCAUUAACUAUAUUAGGGAGAAAUUCUUCCGCUUUAGACAGUAGAGGCUUUUUAUAACUAUUUAUGAUAUUGUUAAAUUCUAUUUCAUUGUCUGAAUUU
RNAcentral lists this long non-coding RNA (439 nucleotides) under Amborella trichopoda. RNAcentral's name for it is "long non-coding RNA (ATRI_LNC004547)". Lineage: Eukaryota; Viridiplantae; Streptophyta; Magnoliopsida; Amborellales; Amborellaceae. The record is from RNAcentral.